Sorex fumeus (smoky shrew) is the source of this 107-nucleotide small nuclear RNA. NCBI's taxonomy places the organism in Eukaryota, Metazoa, Chordata, Mammalia, Eulipotyphla, Soricidae. The record is from RefSeq and is a predicted model, not a curated record.
GUGCUCGCUCAGGCUGUACAUACACUAAAAUUGGAACGAUAGAGAAGAUUAGUAUGGCCCCUGCACAAGGAUGACACACGCAAAUUCGUGAAGCAUUCCAUAUUUUU